RNAcentral lists this RNase P RNA (402 nucleotides) under Agrobacterium larrymoorei. Its description in RNAcentral is "RNase P RNA component class A". It matches the Rfam family "Bacterial RNase P class A". From Rfam's summary of the family: Ribonuclease P (RNase P) is a ubiquitous endoribonuclease, found in archaea, bacteria and eukarya as well as chloroplasts and mitochondria. Its best characterised activity is the generation of mature 5'-ends of tRNAs by cleaving the 5'-leader elements of precursor-tRNAs. Lineage: Bacteria; Pseudomonadati; Pseudomonadota; Alphaproteobacteria; Hyphomicrobiales; Rhizobiaceae. The record is from RNAcentral.
CCAGUUGGCCGGGCAGCCGCGCUUUAUCAAUGUCGAAAGACGGUAGGGUGAGGAAAGUCCGGGCUCCACAAAAGCACGGUGCCGGAUAACGUCCGGCGGGGGCGACCCCAGGGAAAGUGCCGCAGAGAGUAGACCGCCACCUUUUUGGUGGUAAGGGUGAAAGGGUGGGGUAAGAGCCCACCGCGCCGCUGGUAACAGGGGUGGCAAGGUAAACCCCACCGGGAGCAAGACCGAAUAGGGAUAACGCGGGGCCUGCGCAAGCGGGCCUACAGCCGGUUUUUGGGCGAGUUAUCCGGGUGGGUUGCGAGAGGCGGCGUGCAAACGUCGUCCCAGAUGAAUGGCUGCCACGUUCCGGGUCAAACCGGGGCCAUACAGAACCCGGCUUACAGGCCAACUGGCUAU